AAGUGGAGCUCCUGGAAGGACGCUGGCCUCUCUUGCUGGCUCUCCUUUGGUCCACAGCGGAGAAGCACAUGGCCCCUGUUUGCUUUUGCCUGCAGUCUACAGAGCAAACUCUGAUAGUGACCAGGUUGUUCUUGCAGAGAACUUGUGAAAAUUCGGUGUGUUGAAUAGGUGAGUUCCAAUGGAGUGAGUAUGCUGCAGCCUUUGAAAAGUAGUGCCAAUCAAGAAAGAGCUGGCAGAAACAGACGUAUCAUACAGAUCAGCAUCUGGCUGCCUAGCUGGUGUUGCCAGCAGGAUUUUGGCUUCCGUAAUCAUGAGAUUCUCUUCAAAGACUGUGGGCUACUGUGGAGAGGAGGACCUGGGCAGUCACCAACAUCUACAGGCUGGAAAGAAAACUGUAACAACUUAAAAAUAUUCUGGACCUGCAAAGGAACCAGCUCCUGACUGCUGGGAAAAGAGCUGGAAGUUCUGAAAUAUCAAAGCAAAAUCUGUUCCUGCAAGAUUUCCAUCAGAGAGAGGAUUAACAGUCAACAAAUGAACAUCAGUGCAGUAUCUUUUGAAGUUUCUCCAUCUCUAUUGGUGAUGCUAUAGUGACUCUGUUGUUCCUGGUCUUCUCUUUCUAAAGUCUAUUUGCUUUUUUUUUUUUUUUUUUUUCUUUUGGGACAUUUAAUGUAAGUUACUGUAUUUGAAUUUCUGACUCAUCCUCUGUUGUCUGGUUCUGCGUACUGAAAAGUAUCAUUAUAUUCAAAGAGAACUGGUAACUGAAAUUAUAUAGGCUGUCAAUGUUCUCAUUCAGACUUCUCUUCAGCAUUAGAAUUCUGUGUGGUGUUGCAUGCUGUUAGUUGAAGAUUUAUUCUUGAACUUUUUAUUUUCACAAUUCCUUAUUAUCUAAUAACUAUACAGAAAUGUUAAUAGUCUUAUGACUAAACAGGUCAAUAUUCAUAUGAAUAUAUAUUUUUACUUGUUUAAUCUCAAUGAAAUAGCCUAGUAGAAAUUUAACACAUUUAAAACAUUCAAAUAAAAGCUUUUUUUACCCAAUCACAACAACAGCAACAACAAAAACAACAACAAAAACUCUAAUGCUCUUUUUUUGCACUGAAAAAAUCACCAACAUUAGAGUAACUUACAAUGAUAAAUCUCAAAAGACUUAUAUUCUUUAACUCAAGUUGAGACCAUUUGCUUAUUAUACAGGUUCACUGACCCAAAUCUUCUUCAUUCUACAUUAGAGAACUUGACCUGAGAUUUUCUUCUCCCUUCUCCCAGAUAUCACAUAAUGUUAUUUUUGCAUUUUCUGUUGCUGUAAAUAUUUAAUUAGCUACACAAAGUGAAACUAUUCCAAGAAGGAUGACAAAUUCACACUUAAAGUCAUUUGCAAUUGAAAGCUUUUGUAUGCACUGUAAAAUAAAGAUUCUGAACCCAUUUUUUCUUUUAUUUGAAGAAAGAUCUUUGACUUAUGAUUUCUUAACUAUUAAGAGGAAAUCUGUGCUUUGUCUAGCCUCUGCUCUGUUUUCUAGAAAAAAUCAGAAAAGUCCUAUUUGUGUCUAGUGUUUAUGGACAUUACCUGCCCAUUUCUUGCUCCUGGCUGAGUUCCAUACAGCCACUAGAAAUCUGAUUUAGCAGGCAAUAUAAGCAUGCUGAAUCACACUAAGCAGUUCAAAAUAAUGUGAUUAAUCUGUUUGUUUCAUUUACCGCAUUCAGAUUUAUGUAGAAACUGGUGAGAGAAGCCCAGGAUCUUAUCAUCUAACAAUUAAACUAAUCUUGCAGUAUAUUUUAUAAUGUGACUCUAGGAUAAACCCCUACCAAAAUUGGCUUU
Molecule: long non-coding RNA, 1810 nt
Organism: Gallus gallus (chicken)
Lineage: Eukaryota; Metazoa; Chordata; Aves; Galliformes; Phasianidae
Source: Ensembl